Molecule: long non-coding RNA, 1370 nt
Organism: Nomascus leucogenys (northern white-cheeked gibbon)
Lineage: Eukaryota; Metazoa; Chordata; Mammalia; Primates; Hylobatidae
Exons: 4
Source: RefSeq, a predicted model, not a curated record
GCGGUGCUGGGAAUAGGGCGCCAGAUGUCGGAGGAUGCAGCUCCCAGGAGGUAGGCAGUGGGAGCCGGCGUUCAGUCUGGCCCGUGCCAACAGUAGUUCCUCUCUCCCCCGUAGUUCGAGGAGACCACGCGCUGCCCCUCUGGCACGAUCGUGGAUGAACCCCCUGGCAACUGAAAUGGGAAAGGCAGCGCCCCCGACUCUGGGGAGUGGACCGCACUCCACGGUAGUGACAGCUGCCAGACCCUGGGGAGAGGACGAGAAGACCCGAGCCCUCUGCUGCGAACACUGGCAGCCGAUGGAAAAUCCAGACGGAAUUGGGACAGUAUGCAGAGUUCUCCAAGCGACAGAUUAACCGAGGCUCUGUACCACGUGUUCUGCUCAAAAGAAGGCCUGAAUGCCCAGUGCCUUAUUUGGCUUUCAGGACAGGGUCUUGCUGUGUCACCCAGGCUGCAGUACAGUGGUGCAAUCAUAGCUCACUGCUGCCUCAAACUCGUAGACUCAAGCACUCCUCCUGCUUCAGCCUCCCGAGUAGCUGGGACUAUAGGUAGGUGAUGGGCGCCACAGGAACAGAGCAAACGUUCGCUCCUGCCUCCUACGUGGUGUUUCCUCGAAACCUGAGGCUCAGCAGACUUGUCAUCACUUAAAACCCAAUUUAGAGUGGGGGGCACUACCAGUGAAUAGUUCAUCACUGACUCAGUUUCCCCAUGUGUAUGCUGUGGUAUUGGAUCAGCAACUAGAUAAGAUGAUCUCUCCCAUUUCUGAGCGUCUACGAUGAUUCUGAGGCACAAGGUCACAUUUGACAGUACCAGGAAACAACAAGCAAAGAUGACAAAGGAUGUGUCUGCUUGGGCAGAUGAUCUAUUUGGACAAGAUAAUAGACCCAGGCAUGGACAUGCUCUCCAAGAAAGAUGCCCUAACAGCUGCUCAAACUGAAGCUGAAUCAAACAUUCCAAUCCUUAGAGGUUCCAGGUAAGAUCUUGGAGGCUCCCUGGGCCACUGACAUAAUGGCCACGCCAUGCCAAUGAUAAAACACCAAUUGUGGCUUUGUUUUGGACAGAAAUAAAGAGCCCAGUUUGUUAGUGAUUUACUGGUAAUAACUGAAUCAAGUACUAAUACUUGGCGAUUUUAAAAGCUAUCAUGUUAAAAAGACCACCUGAUUCCCAGUGACCCUGCAGUGACUGGGUUUGGGCAGCUCAUCCCCUGUACCUGUUUGGGGCUGUGCCAGCCACUUCCAGUGCGAACAUUGCAUUAACUUGCGGUCGCAGACUUAGCUGGACCCCUUGAACCAAAUUCCUUUCUGACAUUAUCAGACCCCAAAUAAAAGAGCUCACCAGGCCCCUCAGCCUACGUGACCCACCUGCCCAGUGAAA